UUACAAAUUAUGUACAGCAAAGUAUAAAUUGUUUAAGGUGUUUUAAUUUGUUUUAAACUUGUUUGCUUGUACCGGCCACCCCCAUUUCACAGUUGGUUUCGACCAUUGACGCAUUGUUUCCAAAAAUGGGCAGUUGCGUCAGAGCACACGCGCAUGGGUUUCCUUGGUAAAGGCACGAUUAACGCGUCAGGGAUUCCCUCCCCUCUUUCCCCACCUAUAACUUGCACUGGGUGGUCUGUGGACACAUGCUCUCGGCUCCUAAGAUCACGGAACACAGCAAGAGUGUGCAGAGGUGGUCGUGGGUUUAAUAGAAAGUAGCCACAAAGCAUAGCUUUGCGGUCCGGAUGUUGCUCUCUGAACUAUAGGCUGUGCGCUUUUUAAAUUACUUGAAUGUAUGUGCAGUUGCUCUUAAAUUUCGCGUCUUCACCAUGGAGUUUUGGGUUGUUUUUUUUCCCUCUCACUUUUUCGGCAGUUCGAAACAGAUUCUUUAAUUAAUUCAAUAUAUUUUUGUAUUUUUCUGUAGGCCUAUAACAAAUCUUUGUUGCAUCAUAUCUGUUUUUCAACCCAUUUAUCACACACUUCUCUCUCUCUCUCUCUCUCUCUCUCUCUCUCUCUCUCUCCAGGCGGAAUCAAACUCAUCAUUAUAGAUCAAAGAACAUAUCUAUCUAUAGAUGUCGCCAGUGGUACAAUAAAGUUUAUUGGGGGAGGGGAAGUAUCAACAGAACACUUGAGUUUUACAGUCCAAAGUGGGGGUCCAGCUUAUUUUGUAUAAAUCUUACAGACUCGUCUUCAACUGACUCAAGAGUUGUCAUGGAAUGAGGCAUUCUUUAUUGACUUAUAUUUCCACCACCUGCUGUCUAUAACCAAGUGGACCUAUUUCAGCAAGCAGGAAUGUGAUUGUGCACCUGUCCGUGCGACUCUACCUUGAAUUCAUCACUCCUUCUGACAGGUCAAUCAGCCAGACAGGCCAUCAGAGCGCAUCUCCCAGCCUGACAGCGGUCAACACUCAAUCCAGCAUGACAGUUGACCAGGUACUGCCGCCAGCCAGGCACUACCGCACAUGGAGAGGAGGAGGAACGUGAGGAAUGUGGAAGGGGAUGAGUCUUUGGGGAUGGAAAAGUAGUUAAGAGACCUGUAAGUAUGCACAAAAUGAGAUUCCAAAUCUCAAAAAGACUUGCUCAAAAAAGUCACACAAUAAUAUGAUUGUAUCUUUAAAGUGAGGUCACAUUAAUAAAAUGUCAGUUAAAAUUCUGUGGGUAAAAAAGGUCCAUUGUCUAUUGUCGAUAAUGUAGCGAUGUACAGGUCAAACAGAGGUCGUAUUGGAACCAAGCAGCUUUCUGUUUUGUGAAUUAACAUGACCAACUUGAAAACGAGCAAAAUCUGCAUAGGGAACUUUUUUGCCCCAAUUGCACAGAGUCCACAGAGCAAUGGUAAAUGUAUUUUAGGGGCUUUCGCACCAGGUAAUUUUAGGAACUCAGUUAUAGGAACUAGUCACCAGGGCGGUCCCCAGAAAACUAAAUGUUCCCCUAGGGCCAUUUUUGAGGUUGCAUUCGCACUGCCAGUAGGAACUCUGAAGUGAUGCAAGCAGGCUGACAGCAACGUCAUUUAAGCACGGCAUUCAACAGCGUCAACAACUGGAGGAUGGAGGACUCUGUGAUCAGAGAUGUGUUUUUAUUAUUGUGUCAAAGGAGAUGGAAUGCAGACGUGUAAGUCAUGCGAUUGAAAGAACAAAAAGGAGGGCUAAGAGACACAGGCCCAGUUUCACAGACAAGGCUUAGAUUAAGCCAGGAUUAGGCCUUAGUUCAAUUAGAACAUUUAAGUAGCUUUUAUAAAUGUGCCUUAAAAAAAAAAAAACAUUACUGGUGUUCAUCUUGAGACAAAACAAUGGCACUGACAUAUGUGACCCGUGCUGGGAAAAUGAGUUGCAAUGAGCAAAUUAAAAAGUUGUUAUACAAUCUCUAUUAAAAAACCUUCAAAAUGAAGUAUGAUUUGUUGGAAUCUGACAAAAAAUGACUGUGCUACACCUGUUUGAAGUCUAUAGAGUCAGCAAAGUCAAUUUUGCGAAAAAUCGAAUUAAAAUUUUCUGAAGGUUUCAAAAUGAAAUCACCUAGCAACCAUACCUUAAAAUCCCUCUUAAUAACACCUAAUUUGGCACACACCUCGUCAAAGCCAAAUAUCUAUAGGAAAAUAUAUAUAUUCAACUUUUUUCAAUAUUUUACUUCAGUAUUUUGAAGUACUGUAAUUCUGUUUAUAUGUGUAUAUUGGGGACGCGCUGUCUGAGGCGUGCGAGCGCUUCGGAUCUGUCAGCGCGAGUAAGAUUGUUUUGUUUACAUCAGCAUGAGUUUGAAAAUCAUGUCACUGGUUCAAACUCAUGCCAUCAAAAAUUCGCUAUGAAUAUUCACAAAACAUUAAAACGAUAUCAAACUUGUGCUGAGAGGAAGCGCGAGUGGUGAAGCGAGCAGAGAAAAACUGUAUUUUUCAUGGACAAGGGAAAGGUACUCCUCUCAGAAAACAUACAAAUAAAUAUACUUUUAGAUGUUUAAUUGCUAUUUGGAGCAUUUGGAUCACUAAAUGGGGGCUUAAUGAACUAAUUUUUGUAAAAUCCUCAAAUUCGAACAAAACUGACAUUUUUGACUUGUUUUGCCUGUAGCUCGUAAGUAGCCAGUGCGCAUUCUGACUCAUUUUGCCAGCACGGGUCACAUAUUUUAAGAUAUGUCAGUGCGAGUUGCUUUCAGUUGAAACAGCUCAAACAUGCAUUUUAGUCUGGGACUAGACUUAAGCCUUAUCUGCGAAACCGGUCAGCAAUCUCCAACGACAACUUGCAGUGCUACAUAUGAUCGAGGCUGAGAAAAUAACAGAACGAUACA
Long non-coding RNA from Ctenopharyngodon idella (grass carp), 2867 nucleotides. RefSeq lists it as uncharacterized. The transcript is spliced from 3 exons. The record is from RefSeq and is a predicted model, not a curated record. NCBI's taxonomy places the organism in Eukaryota, Metazoa, Chordata, Actinopteri, Cypriniformes, Xenocyprididae.